Molecule: long non-coding RNA, 848 nt
Organism: Oryzias melastigma (Indian medaka)
Lineage: Eukaryota; Metazoa; Chordata; Actinopteri; Beloniformes; Adrianichthyidae
Exons: 2
Source: RefSeq, a predicted model, not a curated record
GAAGCUACUCGAAAAAUAUUUACCCUGUAUGCUAGCCGAGAUGCUAGCCGCCAGAAAGCUCAGUGUGUUUCUGGGAUUAAAAGUUUUGUCAUUAAGAAGCAAAGCCCCCCGCGCAGUCGGGGAGAAACGUUCUGCUGGCGACAGUCACAUGUUAUCCGUGUCGCACAGUCAGGCCUGGCGGUACUCUGAUACGGAAACAUCCGCUAAGUGAGCGGCGAACUCAGAGAUUUGACAGCUAACUAACUAGCAAACACGGCUGGCUGCCGACCGUUACUUUCUUCUGAAACAUGCUCAAAUUAAGUCCUACCUUCCUCAAAGUUAACUAAUUCUCUUGCGACCAACAUAAACUUACAAACGCAGAAAUGUAGACGGGUUGGUUUUUUGCUACAUCGCAGGAAACUGAGUAGAAACAGCCAUCAUCGCUCCGGGGGGAAAAGACAGACCUCCAUUAUUACUGUGUGGCGCAUGCCCAUACCUCAAUCAAUGGGGCAUGUGUGGAGAGAGUCCAGUGCAUCCGAUUCCUGAGCGUGCAGAUUUCUGAAGACCUCUCCUGGACGGCACAUACCACAGUGGCGGUGAAGAAUGCGACUCCAUCAGGGGGAACAACCUGGAGAAGCUGCCGGUUAUCUUCUGCAGAGCGACUAUGGAGAGUCCAGUCCUGACCUGCAUCAAGGCUGUUGUGAUCGUGCAGGUUUUGUGUUUUUGUGAACUGGUGUUAUUUUUCUUUAAAUGUACAGCUUCAUGCUUGCUUGUAAGCAGUGGCUCAACUUUCACCUCAUGUCUACAUUUGUUUGUAAUCCCAUUUGUCAUGACAAACUGAAUAAAAAGGGUAAAUUUCACUUUUUUAA